This 1003-nucleotide ribosomal RNA is filed under the name Plasmodium knowlesi. Its description in RNAcentral is "SSU rRNA". It matches the Rfam family "Eukaryotic small subunit ribosomal RNA", at positions 162 to 1076 of the family's 1831-position model. Lineage: Eukaryota; Apicomplexa; Aconoidasida; Haemosporida; Plasmodiidae. The record is from RNAcentral.
AGCUAAUACUUGCUUUAGCACUCUUGAUUUAUUUCUUGAGUGUGUACUUGUUAAGCCUUAUAAGAAAAGAGUUAUUAACUUAAGGAAUUAUAACAAAGAAGUAACACGUAAUGGAUCAUUCCAUUUUUAGUGUGUAUCAAUCGAGUUUCUGACCUAUCAGCUUUUGAUGUUAGGGUAUUGGCCUAACAUGGCUAUGACGGGUAACGGGGAAUUAGAGUUCGAUUCCGGAGAGGGAGCCUGAGAAAUAGCUACCACAUCUAAGGAAGGCAGCAGGCGCGUAAAUUACCCAAUUCUAAAGAAGAGAGGUAGUGACAAGAAAUAACAAUACAAGGCCAAUCUGGCUUUGUAAUUGGAAUGAUGGGAAUUUAAAACCUUCCCAAAAUUCAAUUGGAGGGCAAGUCUGGUGUCAGCAGCCGCGGUAAUUCCAGCUCCAAUAGCGUAUAUUAAAAUUGUUGCAGUUAAAACGCUCGUAGUUGAAUUUCAAAGAAUCGAUAUUUUAAGUAACGCUUCUAGCUACAAAUCCACAUAACUGAUGCCUCCGCGUAUCGACUUUGUGCGCAUUUUAGCUAUUAUGUGUUCUUUUAAUUAAAAUGAUUCUUUUUAAGAUUCAUCUAUUAAAAAUUUGCUUCGGCAUAAUUUUUUUUGAUGAUCUUGUUACUUUGAGUAAAUUAGAGUGUUCAAAGCAAACAGAUAUAGCAUUUGUGCGUUUGAAUACUACAGCAUGGAAUAACAAAAUUGAACAAGUCAGAAUUUUUUUGUUCUUUUUUCUUAUUUUGGCUUAGUUACGAUUAAUAGGAGUAGCUUGGGGGCAUUUGUAUUCAGAUGUCAGAGGUGAAAUUCUUAGAUUUUCUGGAGACAAACAACUGCGAAAGCAUUUGCCUAAAAUACUUCCAUUAAUCAAGAACGAAAGUUAAGGGAGUGAAGACGAUCAGAUACCGUCGUAAUCUUAACCAUAAACUAUGCCGACUAGGCUUUGGAUGAAAGAUCUUAAAAUAAGAGUUUU